RNAcentral lists this ribosomal RNA (314 nucleotides) under uncultured bacterium. Its description in RNAcentral is "partial 16S ribosomal RNA". It matches the Rfam family "Bacterial small subunit ribosomal RNA", at positions 495 to 807 of the family's 1533-position model. The record is from RNAcentral.
GUAUAAGAGACAGCAGCAGCCACGGUAAUACGAAGGGGGCUAGCGUUGUUCGGAAUUACUGGGCGUAAAGCGCACGUAGGCGGAUACUUAAGUUAGGGGUGAAAUCCCAGGGCUCAACCCUGGAACUGCCUUUAAUACUGGGUAUCUAGAGUAUGGUAGAGGUGAGUGGAAUUCCGAGUGUAGAGGUGAAAUUCGUAGAUAUUCGGAGGAACACCAGUGGCGAAGGCGGCUCACUGGACCAUUACUGACGCUGAGGUGCGAAAGCGUGGGGAGCAAACAGGAUUAGAUACCCCCGUAGUCCCUGUCUCUUAUAC